GGGAACAAAACAAUUGAAUUUACAAAAAUAAAGUGUUAUUUGACUGGAGUGAGGUCUCAUGUCUGCUUAUGCGGUGGCUCGCUGCUCAGAACAGGAUGGCAGAGAUGAGCACCACCAUCAAAAACUCAAGGACCAGUGCUGUGGGUCCAGUCAUCUGUUUCAUGGAAUUCACCAGUCUGGUAUCUUCAAAAUCCAGAAGGAUGAUGGCAGAUGGCAGGAAGGAGGAAGAGGGUAAUCUGGAAGAGUUUCCUGACCUACUCUGCUGCUGUGAUUAAACAACCACCAGGAAAUUUUGAUGACACUGUUCUCCUGAGCUCCUCCCUUUCCUCGGGGAAGAAAAGCAUUGAAACUACAAAAAUAAAGUGUUAUUUGGCUGGAGUGAGGUCUCAUGUCUGCUUAUGCGGUGGCUCGCUGCUCAGAACAGGGAACCAUUGGAGAUACUCAUUACUCUUUGAAGGCUUACAGUGGAAUGAAUUCAAAUACGACUUAUUUGAGGAAUUGAAGUUGACUUUAUGGAGCUGAUAAGAAUCUUCUUGGAGAAAAAAAGACUGGGUAUAUUUUCAAUAUGCUUUCCUUUUAAGGUCCCUCACCUGUGGAAAGUAAAGAAUGUCACUUUCUGACAGGCUCAGGAACCUCAAGUUAUGUAGGGAUCUCAAGAAGAUGGGGGAAUUCACCCAGUUCAUACAGGUGAAAUUGCUGUUGCAAAGAUUAUGAAUAUGAGAGAAGUCCAGCAUGGCUGACUUCAUCUCGUGUCUGGCCUCAGGCUGGCUGCCCUUGCUCACUCUUGGGCAUAGGCCAAGCUAGCCAUGGGAGGAAUUUAGUUUAUAGUUUAACUUUGAAGCACGGAUGAUAAUAGUCUCUCCCUAAAAUGAACCCCUUCCUUGCUCAGGGACUGAAACUACCUUUGUAUGACAAAUGAAAGCCCACAAGAUUAAGAUUAUGAGAGGGGCCUGAAUUCUGCUAAAAUGCAGGUGUAGCUGACUGAUAACAAGUCAUUGUCCCACAGCUUGCCUUUCUAUAAUCUCUUGCUUCUCAGGAGUCACAUGGCCAGAGGUCCUGAGAUUUCCAGUCCUGUGACCCCCACCCAGAGAUGGACUUAGUGCAUGAGGACCAUUUUCCACACCCCUAUGAUUUCAUCCUCAAACAAUCAGCAGCAACCAUUCCCUAGCCCCCUGCCUUCCAAAUUAUCCAUAAAAAUCCUAGCCUCUGAGUUAUUAGGGAGAUUGAUUAAUAAUCCCAGUCCUACCCCUUGGGUUGCUCUGAUUUAAUUAAACCUUCUCUACUGCAAUACCACGGACUCAGUAAAUUGGUUUUGUCUGUGCAAUGGGCAAGAAGAACAUGUUGCAUGGUUAUACAGGUACUACAAGCACAGUCUGAUGGCAAAUUAUUGGUUUUGCUUCCUGCCCUUGAUGUUUCUAAACAUCUAGUCCAAAAUUACUUGUGAAAGGUCCAGCAAAGCCAAUUUUAAAAGAGGCUAUAUGGCCAAUCACUAUUCUUUCUACACAUUAUUGCAAAUAAUCAGGCCACGGCUGGGCACGGUGGCUCAUGCCUGCAAUCCCAGCACUUUGGGAGGCUGAGGCAGGAUCACCUGAAAUCAGGAGUUCAAGACCAGCCUAGGCAACAUGAUAAAACCCUGUCUCUACUAAAAAUACAAAAUUAGCCAGGCAUGGUGGCAUGCACCUGUAAUCCCAGCUACUUGGGAGACUGAGGGAGGAGAAUCACUUGAACCUGGGAGGCAGAGAUUGCAGUGAGCUGAGAUCACACCACUGCACUCCAGCCUGGGCAAUAGAGUGAGACUUUGUCUCAAAUAAUAAUAAUAAUAAUCAGACCAAGUAUAAUGAAAUUAAAAUUUAUUUUGCAAAUAAAUUGGUCCUACUACAAUUUAUCCUUCAUAGAAAUGUGGAAACUGAAGAUAAAAAAAAUUAGGUUUCAGAAGAAAACUAUACUACACCUGUUAUUAGAUUCUAGCCCUAAACAUUGUUUUUGAGGUUUUUAUUAUUUACCUGCAAUUUGGUCUAAAUUCUGAAUUAUUUCCUGACUACAAGUAUCCAAGGAAUAAAUGGGUUUUCUUUUUCUUUAUGAUAGUUUUAGUUGGCUUCUAAUGCAACAACAAUUUUUAUUGUAAUCCUGUGUGCAUUCUAUUCCUACUAUUCAAAUUAUUAAUGUUAUAGAUCUUUCAUUGUAGUACUUCUGAAUUAACCAAAAUCACAGUAUUCUGAAGAUGAUUCUACAAAGCCUGCUGUUUCUACAAAGGCUGCUGAUGAUUUCUACAAAGCCUGCUGUAGUGUUGCUGUGGCCUCUGCUUAAAAAAGUAGAAAACACAUUGAUGCAGCAUGUUCACCCCAACCUCCCUGCCUAAAGGCUCAGGGACCAUCUUGGAAGAGGAAGGCGCGUGAGAUUGUAAGAGCCGAAUUAGGGGGAUGGAGUGUGGAGAAUAAGGACACUUCAUCUUGGAUGCUCACCUGCCAAAUUGACUUCUGAUGAAAGCCAGCUCCAGAAAUGUGCCUACAGUUACUACUUUCACCUAAACCCUGCCCUUAGUCAAAUCCUUCUCUUCUUCUAAGCAAUCAACUUCAAUUCCUUGUAUAACCCACAGUAUAAAAGGGCUUUUAUACCAUUCUAUCCUAUUGCAUGUAAGCCUUGGGUCUGGGAGGUAACAGUGUGGGAUUCCACCAUCUCAUCUCCCUGCCACCCAAACAUGCCUGCUCUUCUUUAAGCAAUAUUAAAUGUUUGUACUUCAGAAA
Long non-coding RNA from Homo sapiens (human), 2744 nucleotides. Ensembl annotates it as prostate cancer associated transcript 19. Its record names the gene PCAT19. The record is from Ensembl. NCBI's taxonomy places the organism in Eukaryota, Metazoa, Chordata, Mammalia, Primates, Hominidae.